RNAcentral lists this ribosomal RNA (251 nucleotides) under uncultured bacterium. RNAcentral describes it as "partial 16S ribosomal RNA". It matches the Rfam family "Bacterial small subunit ribosomal RNA", at positions 523 to 769 of the family's 1533-position model. The record is from RNAcentral.
AUACGAAGGGGGCUAGCGUUGUUCGGAAUUACUGGGCGUAAAGCGCAGGGGUGUAGGCGGACAUUUAAGUCAGGGGUGAAAUCCCGGGGCUCAACCUCGGAACUGCCUUUGAUACUGGGUGUCUAGAGUGUGGAAGAGGUAAGUGGAAUUCCGAGUGUAGAGGUGAAAUUCGUAGAUAUUCGGAGGAACACCAGUGGCGAAGGCGGCUUACUGGUCCAUUACUGACGCUGAGGUGCGAAAGCGUGGGGAGC